Non-coding RNA from Podarcis lilfordi (Lilford's wall lizard), 176 nucleotides. Lineage: Eukaryota; Metazoa; Chordata; Lepidosauria; Squamata; Lacertidae. The record is from the annotation of a GenBank genome assembly.
ACAGCACCUCUCCUGCGAAGGAGAGGCGCUGCACAGAUAGGGAGAGCUGCGCAGCACCCCUUAAGUGAAGCGGGAGGAGGAACAGAAGGGGCUCCUUUCCUCCUCCCACUUCGCUAAAGGGGUGCUGCGCAGUUCUACCUCUCUGCGCAGCGCCAUUCACUCCAUAAGACGCACUC